GAUUAUCUGCUUUGUUUUAGUGACUUUGAUUUUUGCCUUUGCCCUUUCGUACUUUCGCACUUUUUAUUGGAUUUUUGACCUUUUUGCCUGUUUACUCGACUAUUCUUUUUUUUCCUGUUUUUGCCAUUGUCUUAGAUCUCUUGGCUUUCGAACUCGGAAUAAAUAACAACGUUUUUGGAUUAUCCCCUGGUCUGCGUCUGGGUCCUCAGUGCCAUACAUAACAGUCCUGUGGGUUUGACGUAGGCGAUUGUGGGAAAGAUCAUUUCGGGCAGCUCUACCAGGUGACCCUUCGGAGGAACGUGACCCACUACAUCCCCCCCUGGGUGAGACCAGGCCCUACUUCAGCUUCGAGGGGCUGGCCCAGCGUGUCGGAGGCCCAGGAACUUUCUCCCAUAAUGCGGCCUGUGAGUGCAUUCUGGGUAAUGACAGGAGGCGGGG
Conger conger (European conger) is the source of this 438-nucleotide long non-coding RNA. RefSeq lists it as uncharacterized. The record is from RefSeq and is a predicted model, not a curated record. Lineage: Eukaryota; Metazoa; Chordata; Actinopteri; Anguilliformes; Congridae. The transcript is spliced from 3 exons.